Laetiporus sulphureus 93-53 is the source of this 71-nucleotide transfer RNA. It matches the Rfam family "tRNA". From Rfam's summary of the family: Transfer RNA (tRNA) molecules are approximately 80 nucleotides in length. Their secondary structure includes four short double-helical elements and three loops (D, anti-codon, and T loops). The record is from Rfam. NCBI's taxonomy places the organism in Eukaryota, Fungi, Basidiomycota, Agaricomycetes, Polyporales, Laetiporaceae.
GGCAGAUUGGUGUAGUGGUAACAUGUUAGUCUCUGAGUUAAAGAUUUAGGGUUUGAGUCCCUGGCCUGUCA